RNAcentral lists this small nuclear RNA (294 nucleotides) under Dasypus novemcinctus (nine-banded armadillo). RNAcentral describes it as "7SK RNA (ENSDNOG00000029801.2)". It matches the Rfam family "7SK RNA", at positions 1 to 295 of the family's 331-position model. Rfam says of the family: 7SK was discovered as an abundant small nuclear RNA in the mid-70s but a possible function has only recently been suggested. Two independent studies have found that 7SK RNA binds the CDK9/cyclin T complex (known as elongation factor P-TEFb). The record is from RNAcentral. Lineage: Eukaryota; Metazoa; Chordata; Mammalia; Cingulata; Dasypodidae.
GUUUGUAAGGGUGAUAUGGCUAUGACAUGUGUUACCCAUUGCUCACCAGGGUUAAAUCAACUUAUCAAGUUGUCUAGGCAAGUGUCCCCUUCCCCAUUCACUACUCCAUGUAUGUCCCUCCUGAAGUUGUGAGCUUCAUUAAAGAGGAAAAUCUACCCCAAUAGAGGAGGACUGUGCAUUGGUCAAGGAUACAUAAAUGACUGUGUCCCCCACUAGAAUCUCCAAACAAGCUUUCAAGGUCCUUUCAUUUCAUAGUUGCAGUCUAUGUGGUAGAAUAAUAUGAUGUUUACACUC